UGAAAGUGCUUUUUUGGACAGUUUGCAAAUUGUGUUAAAGCUAUGGAUUUUUUUUAAGUGUUCAGCAUCCUAAUUUGCGUUAAAGCUAUGGAUUUUUUGAAAAGUCUUCAGCAUCCUAAUUCACCCUUCCUAACUUAAGGAAAAUAUAACUUAAGACACUGCUUCUAAGUUUGGUUGUUCUUUAUAGUGUGGAUACCCAGAUCUCUGUGAGCGUAUGGGGGUGGGCUGAGGGCCAGGUGAGGAGGGAGUGUGUGUGUAUGUGUGUGUGUGUGUGUGUGUGGUUUUUGUGUGUAUGAUGUGCGUGUGUCAGACCGCUUCUAGGCUACUAAGUGUCAAUGGAAAAGAAAAUGUAUUCAAAAUACUUAAAUCAAAACUAGAAGAUGGGAAAAAAAAAAGAUUUAUUCUAUACAAAGCCUUGUCUGGACCACUUUAGAGAGACUUCUAUUUUUUUAACCCUUCUAUAAAUAUUUGAUGGCACUUGAAAUAUUCCUGCAAUAAAAUGUGAUUUGUGUAAAGAAAAAAAAAAGAUUUUGUAAUGUGAAACAAAGAAAGAAAGUAAUGUAAUUUUCUAAAAAAAAAAAUACAAACAAACAAACUUUGUAUUAUUUUCUUGAUGGAAUUUGUCUAUCUGUCUUUGGAAAACUUUUUAUUUCAUUGAAUGUGCCAUAGUAGAAAUAUGUGUUUUUAGUUUUAGACUAAGGAAUAGCUGUUUGUGUUCCGACAUUCCAAAAUGCAAAACAACGUAGUAGAAUCUUUAAUGAAAAGGUUUAAGUAGGAUGUAAGCUUCUCUCAUUGUUGCUUUUUUGCACAUGUUCUUCAUUCCUCUCUAGUGCAAUAUGUACAUAGAGCACUUGCGGGUGUACCUUGAUCCCUCAGGGAAAAAAUACAUAUUUGUACAGUUUUGGUUUUUUGGUUUUUGUUUUUGUUUUUGGUUUUUUUGCCUUUUGUUUUUGGCUAAGGAAUGUCGAUUGAAUCACUUGUUAUUGUUGAGGGGCAGCCAGAUAAUAAUCCUAAAGCCACUGUUUUCAAACAUUGAUUGUUUAAAUCAUGUGUCCUUCCAGUGCUAUUAUUUUAAGAUAAUAAUAAUAAUAAUAAAAAGUUAUUUUCUGACAGUUCUUUGUGCUGAUUGGUGAAAAAAAAAAGGGUAAAUAAGCACCUUAUGAUUGACUUACUGUGAAUGACAAUCCAUCUUGAUAUCAACAAUAGAAGCCCUAUCACUUUGGAGUCGGGGUUAAGAGUCAGAAACAAUGUGCUCAGGGAUCUUCUAAAACUCUUCAAACAGGGUGGCCAGUAUUACUGGGACAAAUUGUGUUUUUUAUUAUUAAUAAUAGUGAUAAUAAUACUAUCCCUCAAGGCACAAGUGAACUGUGUAGAACUCUGUGUGUGUGUGUAAACUCUUCACUAUUGUCUCAUUUUGUUGAGUUCAAAAUAUAUGUGUUCUUCAGUCUUGUGUGGUUAAAAGUGUUGAAUAGCUUCCAAAGCAGUAUAAAGUUAUGCCAGUAUGUUCACAAGGUAAAUUAAUAGGCAGUGUACUGACAGAGAGCAUCACUUCAUGUGCAAUCCUACAUACUCCAUUGACUUCCUCUGAUAAUUAAAAUAUUCAUGAUAAAUUCAUAGCAUUAUAUAUUAGAAACUUUCAAAUUCUACAUAGUAUGCAAAAAAUUGUCUAAGACUAUAAUGAGAUGAGAGCUCUGCCUAUCAGUGCAGUGAAAGAGGUGAAAAUUUCAACACAUUUUUUUCAAAUGCCAACAAAUAACUGUUAUUUUCAUUGUGUUCUCCUCUAAAAGCAAACCCCCAAAUCCCUUUAUGUUUCACAGCUCUUUUACUUCUACUUUUAUAGUUUUCAUCUGUUGAAUUAAUACAAGAGCUAAUGUUUAAAGACAGACAAAACCCACCUAUAUAACAGCACCAUGAAUCAGCUUUUAGGGUUAUAUUUGACAUUUUUGCAAUAUAGUUUCAUUUUCAUGUUUCCAUGUAUUUUCAUAAUGUCAGUGAACCUCAGUAUAUUGUUGGCUUUGAUUCUUCCUUACCUGGAAUACACAUUCAGAAGGAGCUUUCCAUAAUUUCUUACAACCAUAGCGGAGUAUAAUUUGGGGAAACUUUCCAUGUCGUUUAAAUGAAGAAGAAACUUUGACCUUCUUGUUUUUUGAUAAUGAAGACUAUGGAAAAUGGCAGAAACCCCUCUCUCCUUCUCUCUCAACAUAUAUAUAUAUAUACAUACAUACACACACCUAUACAUAUAUACACCAUACAUAUACAUACAUACACAUAUACAUAUACAUACAACAUGUACAUACAUACACAGACACAGGUUAUUAACAUUUUCACAUACUAUAACGUGAUUGCCAUGUCUUACUUAUAAAGAUAUGAUACAACAGAACCCUAUAGAAACAACUUUAUACUGUGGAUCAGAUUAACAGAAAUGUAAUUGCAAUAGUAAGUCUUGACCUAUUGCCAACAGUCUACGAUAUGAGUUUUCAUUCUAUCCCUAAACACUAGUAUUAGGAAAGUGGUUCCACCAGAUUCAAUUCAAGAGGCCUUCCUAUUAUUGUUUAUUCUUAAGACAUGAGGAGGCUGAAGAAAAUGUCUUUCCAAAGCAAUCGGUUUCACUUCCGGAGCGGUUGCUUGUUUCUUUAAGUAUGACCGACCAGUUUUGUCAGGCUCUCAGAAUAAUUUUUAAAAUAAUCCAGAAGCCUGGCUUUAUACUAAGGAGAUGUCAUAGAUGGAGGGAUCUCUGUGUUUAACCAGACCCUCCGAUCUUAGAGCAAUAAAUACAUUCAUUCAGUCAUUUACUUAUUUACAAACCAAUGACAAAAUAUUCAAUCCAAAUAAAAACAAUGCUUUUUCAGCAAUGCAAUAUAACAUGGAGUCUUGUGUUAAAAAGCGACUAUGAAUAUUUUAAAUAGAUGCCUACAGAAUCCGUGUUCGCCGUUUACAUGUAGUGUGUUCGCCACAUUUUCUUUGGCUUUUUUCCUUCUAAGAACUAAUGAAAGACAGCUUGCUGUGAGCUUUGACACACUGCAUACGCCCUCAUGUUCCAUGCUGUUGUUCUCUAAGAGCAACUGAAUUCUCUCCAGUGUCUGUGUGUUUCCCUUCUCACUCAUUAUGACUUUAUUGUGGAUGAAAACUAUUUCUAGGAACUUGGUUAUUAUUGAACAGAUUGCAUAUGUAAAUGCAGAUAAUUCUUGAGCAAUAUAGUGAAUAUGAUUUCACACAAAAAAAAUUCGUAUGUACUGUACACAUCUUCCUGAAUCCAAAAUUCUCUUCUUAUAUCCACAGUGGUUUGAAAUCUCAUAUAAAACAGUGGUAAAUUUUUAAACAUUAGGACAUUAGCUGGCUGCUUCUUUAAAUGUACCUGUUCUGUCUGCUUGCUCCUUUUGUGGAGAUGUGUUUUUGUAUUGGAUGUUUGGGCCAAUGGGAGGCUUCAAGCUACAACAUAUUUUCCCAGUUUAAAUAUAUUUAACAUAUGACAAACCCCAGACAAGGCUUUUAAUAUGUAUAAAGAACUGCAGUGUUAGGUGGUUUAUUUGCAAACCGUUUUCAAUGUUGUCCAUUUUUAUGGCACCUUUAACAAUAUUCUUGUUUCCAAAGUACAAAAAAAAAAAAAUAGGUUAAAUAAUCUAGCCAUAACUGAAUGUCAAGCAAUAAAACAAAUGACUUUUGUGCAUAGACUUAAAAAAAUACAAAUUUUAGACAUCUGCAUGUAAAUGCAAUCUCUUGUUUACUGCUUUCUUCAACUUGAGCAAUUGAUUCCUUAUUUACUAUUAACUUAAGAACUUGUAAUGGCCUGUAAACAUUUUCUCUCUUACUCUUCUUUCAAAUUUACCUUGGUCCCUGCUUUUAAGUCAUAAUAUUUAAUGUUGUUCUGCACAUCUCUAUACAGUUAACUUUUUGGCUUUCAUUCUGUAUAGAUAAGAAAAUGUUAUAUUAUAAACAGCCUACUCAGUGCAAAUAUUUAUCUGUUUAUCAAAUCCACAAUAUGCUGUAUAAUACUGGUUUUACUAUAUAAUCUAUUUUAGACAUAGCUGUUUAGAACUAGAGUGUGCUAUUUUUGUGUUUUUCUGAUGUGUGGUGCUAGAUAAGUUACUUUUGUGAACAACAACAAAAAAAUCCCUUUUAUUCCUAGACAAUACCACCUUUGGGUCUUGUUAAUUUCACUGAGUAUAACUAUAUAUUUGUAUAUAUAUACAUAUAUAUAUAUAUCUACCUGUUCCCAACUGGCAGCUGUAUCAGAGUGCUGGAUUUGGGACACGCUUUUCUCUUUAAAUACAUAAUAUCAUUAUAUAAAUUAUUCUAGAGUGUAUUUAAUUAGGAUAAAAUUACUUCCUUAGUAUGGAUAUUUGACAUCUAUAGGGUGAAUUUGUUUAUAAAUAUGGAUAUAUGAAAACUUCUUAGCAUUUACUUUAUGUUUGCUACUUGGCUUUAUACCAUAUCUCCUGAGCUGAAAAAAUAAUUUUCCAGGCCUUCAAGAUCCUAAAAAAACACUCUAGUUUAAUGGAGUAAUACUUUUUUUUUCUUACUAAGGAAUCAUGUUAUUGGCACCUGACUGAGUUGUGUACUUAGCUCCUAUUUAGGCAUUAUAUAAAAUAUCCUUGGUGGCUUGAUGGCAGAAUAAGUGUUUCCCCUCCUACCUGAGCCAUGAGAAGCUUGGAGAUAUCCAGUAUCAUGGCAGAGCACGGGCCAUAGAGCAAAUUUGACAAGGGAUGUUCUGUUUUAAUCUGACCUCAACCAGUUCCAUGAACUGUGAGUGAAAGACCUUCAUUUUACAAGUCAUCUAACAAUGAGCUUAGUUAAACUCUUUCACCUAUUCUCCCAAGACUUAUUGGCAUUGUUAAAAAUCAAAAGUAUAUCAAAUAUCUAACUAAGGAUGUAGUUAACCUUAUUAAAUAUUGAUUAGAAUUGUUCUGUAAUAUUACUGAAUUUGUAAGAUCUUUAGCAAAGAUUUUUGAGCAAUUUAUAAAUAUAGAGCAAAUGUUUCUGUUUACUGCACUUUUUGUAAUUGAAGGUGAUAAAUUCUCAAGCCAUGGUUAUUGGCUUCCAUGCACUGCAUAUUUACCCACAAUUCUAGACAUUUUCCAUUUUUAUGGAAGAGUUGCUGUUACCUUAAUUAUAAAUGCAAUCAUGUGGUUAAUGAGAGCGAAUGCUAAUAGUUAACCUUUUAAAGAGAAUUGGCUACAGUUUAGGGAGAAAUCUCUUUAAUACAAAUCAUGUCAUUCCUUAUUGCUUCACUUAGAGAUUGAAACCUGUUUUGUUUUUGUUUUUGUUUUUUAAGCACCACUUAGUAUCCUAAACUUCCUGAAAGUAGAGAUUGUAUCUCUUUGUGUCUACACAAUGGCCAGCACAUGUCAGCAUUUGAUAAUUGUUAAAUGACAAGUGUGCCCAAAUUAAAAUUUUUUCUUGGGAUUUUUUUGGGGGUAAAUUUAUAAAGUACGUCAAGCCUUAUGGUUAACACUUUCUUCUACAACCAAGUAUUAAAGCCACAUUUAAAACGACCACAUGAAAUGCUGAUUCUAAUUGUGUGUAGGUCUUGAAGAUUAAGCACACAAAUUUCACAAAACUCUGUGAGUAACAAACUCAGCCUUCUGUAAAUAUACAUGCAAGUUUGGAAACAGUAAUACUGUACCUAUAAAUAUAUGCUGUCUGUUUUGUGUACAGUAUGUAAAAACUCCUUUUCUGCCACACUAAAAAUGCAAGCCAUUUAUGGAAAUCCUAAAAAUAGUAUUGUACUAAAACUUUGCUAAUGAUCUUUAUUAGAGGAUCAUCCAACUUUUCACUUACAUUGGGUUUUCUUUUCAAUUCACUCUUACAGUAGUCUGCUUAUUUCCAGCUGUUUGUUAUUUUAUUGAGUCCUCAAUUUAAAAAAAAAUAUUUUGAUUCAUUUUGUAAAUACAAGCUGUAAAAAAAAGAGAGAUUUAAUGUUGUCUUUUAAAUACUCCAAUUUUCAUUCUAAUAUGAAUGUUGUUAUAUUGUACUUAGAAACUGUACCUUUAAUAUUACAUUACCUUUAUUAAAAGUGCAUUGAACACAUCAAUUUUAGAUGUGCUUUAUGUACUGUUAUCCUAUAAUAAAACUUCAGCUUCUAAUG
This 6085-nucleotide long non-coding RNA is filed under the name Canis lupus familiaris (dog). RNAcentral describes it as "lncRNA (ENSCAFG00845017774.1)". The record is from RNAcentral. Lineage: Eukaryota; Metazoa; Chordata; Mammalia; Carnivora; Canidae.